RNAcentral lists this ribosomal RNA (19 nucleotides) under Medicago scutellata. Its description in RNAcentral is "partial 5.8S ribosomal RNA". The record is from RNAcentral. Lineage: Eukaryota; Viridiplantae; Streptophyta; Magnoliopsida; Fabales; Fabaceae.
UAUAUAGAAUGAUCUCAAC